UACGGAGGGGGCAAGCGUUGUUCGGAAUUAUUGGGCGUAAAGCGUAUGUAGGCGGCCGGACAAGUCGGACGUGUAAUCCCUCGGCUUAACUGAGGAGUUGCGUUUGAAACUAUCCGGCUUGAGGACAGGAGAGGAGAGUGGAAUUCCCAGUGUAGCGGUGAAAUGCAUUGAUAUUGGGAAGAACACCAGUGGCGAAGGCGGCUUUCUGGCCUGUUUCUGACGCUGAGAUACGAAAGCCAGGGGAGCGAACGGG
Molecule: ribosomal RNA, 253 nt
Filed under: uncultured bacterium
Lineage: Bacteria
Description: partial 16S ribosomal RNA
Rfam family: Bacterial small subunit ribosomal RNA
Source: RNAcentral